This 381-nucleotide unclassified non-coding RNA is filed under the name uncultured Pseudomonadota bacterium. RNAcentral describes it as "uncultured proteobacterium contains 16S-23S intergenic spacer region". The record is from RNAcentral. Lineage: Bacteria; Pseudomonadati; Pseudomonadota.
CGGCUUGUCACCGGCAGUUUCUCCAGAGUGCCCGGCUCUACCCGAUGGCAACUGAAGAUGAGGGUUGCGCUCGUUGCGGGACUUAACCCAACAUCUCACGACACGAGCUGACGACAGCCAUGCAGCACCUGUGCGGCGUCCAGCCGAACUGAAGGAAACCAUCUCUGGAAUCCGCGAUGAGGAUGUCAAACGCUGGUAAGGUUCUGCGCGUUGCUUCGAAUUAAGCCGCAUGCUCCGCCGCUUGUGCGGGGACCCGUCAAUUCCUUUGAGUUUUAGCCUUGCGGCCGUACUCCCCAGGCGGGGCACUUAAUGCGUUAGCUGCGGCACCCAAGGGGUCAAUACCUCGGACACCUAGUGCCCAUCGUUUACAGCGUGGACUAC